AGGGUUGUGGCUCAGUGGAAGAGUGCUUGCCUGGCAUGUGAGGUUCUGGGUUCAAUUCCCAGAACCUUUA
This 70-nucleotide transfer RNA is filed under the name Marmota monax (woodchuck). Its description in RNAcentral is "tRNA.Ala". It matches the Rfam family "tRNA". From Rfam's summary of the family: Transfer RNA (tRNA) molecules are approximately 80 nucleotides in length. Their secondary structure includes four short double-helical elements and three loops (D, anti-codon, and T loops). The record is from RNAcentral. Lineage: Eukaryota; Metazoa; Chordata; Mammalia; Rodentia; Sciuridae.